UUUUCUUUCAUGAAACAUCAAAGAAGCAACACAGAAUGCAUCUUUCAUGUUCCAGACAUACCACAAUACUUCAGUGUUUUCCAUUCCUUCAGAUUCACUGCUAACCAAGAUGAAAGCUGAGGUCUUGUGAGCAAAACCUAAGCCAUCUGAAAAGAAAUGGUAUCCCUUUGAGGUUCUCGGUUCCAGAGAAGGAACAUUGUGGUCAUGUUCGACAGGCUGGUGUAGAACGUCACACAAUGGUGCUGGAGAUGUUUCAUGGAUUGUCUUCCAGGAGAUGAAGAAGGAACAAGAAAGAAAAUUCUUAGGGCUUGAAAUCAUCACCUGCAUGAAAGAAAAACCCAACAAAGAACUGAAAAGAUGUGCUGAGCCCCCAUCAGGGCUAUAGGAGCAGCUGCCUGUGUCAAAGCUUGUGAAAACAUGCUACAUUCACCGUUGUCCCUACUGCCAGAUUACAUUGAUAGGAAUGGCUCAGGGAUGCUCUGCUCUGAAAAUGCAGACUUCUGGACUGAGAGGGAUUCUCCACUGGCUACUAGCAAUGUGCUGUCUGUCUUACGUAUACGAACAGUUCAGAAUACACUACCUGAAAGCUUAUUCAAUACAUGGAGAAAGGAGAGGAGAACUGAAAACAGUUGGUGGGGGCACCAGCCUGGUUUUGAACCUUCUGAAGAAUAG
RNAcentral lists this long non-coding RNA (672 nucleotides) under Anser brachyrhynchus (Pink-footed goose). RNAcentral's name for it is "lncRNA (ENSABRG00000010453.1)". Lineage: Eukaryota; Metazoa; Chordata; Aves; Anseriformes; Anatidae. The record is from RNAcentral.